Molecule: ribosomal RNA, 1441 nt
Filed under: uncultured organism
Description: SSU rRNA
Rfam family: Bacterial small subunit ribosomal RNA
Source: RNAcentral
CGCUAGCUACAGGCUUAACACAUGCAAGUCGAGGGGCAGCAUGGUCUUAGCUUGCUAAGGCCGAUGGCGACCGGCGCACGGGUGAGUAACACGUAUCCAACCUGCCGUCUACUCUUGGACAGCCUUCUGAAAGGAAGAUUAAUACAAGAUGGCAUCAUGAGUCCGCAUGUUCACAUGAUUAAAGGUAUUCCGGUAGACGAUGGGGAUGCGUUCCAUUAGAUAGUAGGCGGGGUAACGGCCCACCUAGUCUUCGAUGGAUAGGGGUUCUGAGAGGAAGGUCCCCCACAUUGGAACUGAGACACGGUCCAAACUCCUACGGGAGGCAGCAGUGAGGAAUAUUGGUCAAUGGGCGAGAGCCUGAACCAGCCAAGUAGCGUGAAGGAUGACUGCCCUAUGGGUUGUAAACUUCUUUUAUAAAGGAAUAAAGUCGGGUAUGGAUACCCGUUUGCAUGUACUUUAUGAAUAAGGAUCGGCUAACUCCGUGCCAGCAGCCGCGGUAAUACGGAGGAUCCGAGCGUUAUCCGGAUUUAUUGGGUUUAAAGGGAGCGUAGAUGGAUGUUUAAGUCAGUUGUGAAAGUUUGCGGCUCAACCGUAAAAUUGCAGUUGAUACUGGAUAUCUUGAGUGCAGUUGAGGCAGGCGGAAUUCGUGGUGUAGCGGUGAAAUGCUUAGAUAUCACGAAGAACUCCGAUUGCGAAGGCAGCCUGCUAAGCUGCAACUGACAUUGAGGCUCGAAAGUGUGGGUAUCAAACAGGAUUAGAUACCCUGGUAGUCCACACGGUAAACGAUGAAUACUCGCUGUUUGCGAUAUACUGCAAGCGGCCAAGCGAAAGCGUUAAGUAUUCCACCUGGGGAGUACGCCGGCAACGGUGAAACUCAAAGGAAUUGACGGGGGCCCGCACAAGCGGAGGAACAUGUGGUUUAAUUCGAUGAUACGCGAGGAACCUUACCCGGGCUUAAAUUGCAGAUGAAUUACGGUGAAAGCCGUAAGCCGCAAGGCAUCUGUGAAGGUGCUGCAUGGUUGUCGUCAGCUCGUGCCGUGAGGUGUCGGCUUAAGUGCCAUAACGAGCGCAACCCUUGUUGUCAGUUACUAACAGGUUCCGCUGAGGACUCUGACAAGACUGCCAUCGUAAGAUGUGAGGAAGGUGGGGAUGACGUCAAAUCAGCACGGCCCUUACGUCCGGGGCUACACACGUGUUACAAUGGGGGGUACAGAGGGCCGCUACCACGCGAGUGGAUGCCAAUCCCCAAAACCUCUCUCAGUUCGGACUGGAGUCUGCAACCCGACUCCACGAAGCUGGAUUCGCUAGUAAUCGCGCAUCAGCCACGGCGCGGUGAAUACGUUCCCGGGCCUUGUACACACCGCCCGUCAAGCCAUGGGAGCCGGGGGUACCUGAAGUGCGUAACCGCGAGGAGCGCCCUAGGGUAAAACUGGUGACUGGG